AGCGAACGCUGGCGGCGUGCCUAACACAUGCAAGUCGAACGUGAAAGGGAGCAAUCCUGAGUAAAGUGGCGUACGGGUGAGUAAUGCGUAGGUAAUCUAACUUUUAGUUUGGAAUAACCUGCCGAAAGGCGGGCUAAUACUGGAUAGGUCGAAGGGGCUAUAGAGGUCACUUCGGGAAAGGGAGCUAGCAAUAGCCCUCGCUAAAAGAUGAGCUUACGUUCCAUUAGCUAGUUGGUGAGGUAACGGCCCACCAAGGCGAUGAUGGAUAGCUGGUCUGAGAGGAUAAUCAGCCACACUGGAACUGAAACACGGUCCAGACUCCUACGGGAGGCAGCAGUGGGGAAUCUUGCGCAAUGGACGAAAGUCUGACGCAGCCACGCCGCGUGAGUGAAGAAGGCCUUCGGGUUGUAAAGCUCUGUCGGAGGGGACGAAAAGCGUGAAGGUUAAUAGCCUUGACGUCUGACGGUACCCUUAAAGGAAGCACCGGCUAACUUCGUGCCAGCAGCCGCAGUAA
RNAcentral lists this ribosomal RNA (514 nucleotides) under uncultured bacterium. RNAcentral describes it as "partial 16S ribosomal RNA". It matches the Rfam family "Bacterial small subunit ribosomal RNA", at positions 29 to 523 of the family's 1533-position model. The record is from RNAcentral.